Molecule: long non-coding RNA, 223 nt
Organism: Musca vetustissima
Lineage: Eukaryota; Metazoa; Arthropoda; Insecta; Diptera; Muscidae
Exons: 2
Source: RefSeq, a predicted model, not a curated record
UUUUAUCAACACUGCGCAUGUAAUCAACCCUGCCUCCGAUGGUAACCAUCUUUGACAAAAGUCAACGAAUAGAAGAACUUCCGCCGAAUCUUUCUUUCGUUCUCAGUCGUCUUCGAGUAUAGAAGCAUUAUGAGAGCUAAGUGGCGUAAGAAGCGUAUGCGAAGGUUGAAGCGUAAGCGCAGAAAGAUGCGUGCAAGGUCCAAAUAAAUUGAUACUGGAAAAC